RNAcentral lists this ribosomal RNA (2564 nucleotides) under human gut metagenome. Its description in RNAcentral is "bacterial LSU rRNA". It matches the Rfam family "Bacterial large subunit ribosomal RNA". The record is from RNAcentral.
AAUAAAUCGUAAAUCUGUGUAAUAAUAAUUGCAGGACAAUAUGGAUCUUGAAGAGCUUAAAAAAGGUGCAAAUCCUUUUAGAUCCAAAACCAAAUAAAACUUAAUAACCAUAAUCAAAUGAAAACGAAACGACAUUUAUAAAGAAAAUAAAUACAUGAAUAAAAUAGUAUAUAGAGGCAAUACCGGGAGAACUGAAACAUCUAAGUACCCCGAGGAAAAGAAAGAAACAUCGAUUUUCAAAGUAGCGGCGAGCGAAAUGGAAAGAGCCCGCUUAAAGAAAUACUAAGAAAGUAUCCGAAUGAUCUUGGAAAAAUCAUCCAAAGAAAGUGAAAGACUUGUAGGAGAAGAUAUUAAUAUUUUGAUAAGCUUUACGAGUACCACAAGGCACGAGAAACCUGGUGGGAAUAUGGGAGGACCACCUCCCAAGGCUAAAUACUACUUGGUGACCGAUAGAGAACAGUACCGUGAGGGAAAGGUAAAAAGAACCCCGAAAGGGGAGUGAAAUAGAACCUGAAACCCUGCGUUUACAAGCAAAGAAAGCACGUGAAAAGUGCAAUCUUGUACUUUUUGUAGAACGGGCCAGCGAGUUACUUUUGUAAGCAAGGUUAAGAAGUUAAGCUUCGUAUCCGAAGAGAAAUCAAGUCUUAAUAGGGCGACAUAGUUUACAGGAGUAGACCCGAAACCAGGUGACCUAUCCAUGAGCAGAGUGAAGUUAAAGUAAAAUUUAAUGGAGGCUCGAACCGGGUGUGGUUUAAAACACAUCGGAUGACUUGUGGAUAGGGGUGAAAAGCCAAUCGAACCUGGAGAUAGCUGGUUCUCCUCGAAAUAGCUUUAGGGCUAGCCUUUAGGAUGUUUAAUGGAGGUAGAGCUACUGACUGGUUGCGGGGUGUUUAUACAUUACCAAAACCUAUCAAACUCCGAAUGCCAAGAAAACAAACCUAAGGAGUCAGACUAUGUGGGAUAAGCUUCAUAGUCGAAAGGGAAAGAGCCCAGACCAUCAGCUAAGGUCCCCAAAUACCGAUUAAGUGGUAAAGGAUGUGAAGUUACCCAAACAACUAGGAUGUUGGCUUAGAAGCAGCCAUACAUUUAAAGAGUGCGUAAUAGCUCACUAGUCGAGUGACCUUGCGCCGAAGAUUUCCGGGGCUAAAUCGGAUACCGAAGCUGUGGACUCAUCUAAUGAGUGGUAGAGGAGCAUUGUGUAAUAGAUAGAAGCAGUACCGAAAGGCGCUGUGGACGAAACACAAGAGAGAAUGCUGGCAUAAGUAGCGAGAAGGAGUGUGAGAAUCACUCCCGUCGAAAACCUAAGGGUUCCUGAGCAAGGCUCGUCCCCUCAGGGUAAGUCGGGACCUAAGGCGAGGCCGAAAGGCGUAGCCGAUGGACAAGUAGUAAAAAUUCUACUACUAUCAAUUAUCGUAUAAAUGAAGCGGGGACACAGAAGGAUAAGCUAAGCGUACCAGAUGGACGAGUACGCUCAAAUAAAAAGGCAUGCCAGGACUAAUAACCAGGCUAAGCCAAUUUAUGAUGAGGAUCGAAAAUAAGUAGAGAAGUAGCCGAUUUCACACUGUCAAGAAAAGCCGCUAAAUAGAUAAAAGAUACCCGUACCGUAAACCGACACAGGUAGGAAAGGAGAGAAUCCUAAGACGCGCGGAAGAACCUUUGUUAAGGAACUCGGCAAAAUGACCCCGUAAGUUAGCGAGAAGGGGAGCCAGAGCGAUUUGGCCGCAGUGAAUAGGCCCAAGCGACUGUUUACCAAAAACACAAGUUUCUGCUAAGUCGAAAGACGACGUAUAGGAGCUGACACCUGCCCGGUGCUGGAAGGUUAAGGGGAAAUGUUAGCAGGUAGCGAAGCAUAGAACUUAAGCCCCAGUAAACGGCGGCCGUAACUAUAACGGUCCUAAGGUAGCGAAAUUCCUUGUCGGGUAAGUUCCGACCCGCACGAAAGGUGUAACCAUGUACAGAAUAGGUGGGAGACAAAGAUCCUGGUACGCAAGUAUCAGAGGAGUCAAAAAGUGGGAUACCACUCCUGUAGUGCUGGAAUUCUAACCUUGAGCCGUAAACCGGUUUAGGGACACUGUCAGUUGGGCAGUUUGACUGGGGCGGUCGCCUCCCAAAAAGUAACGGAGGCGUUCAAAGGUUCCCUCAGCACGGACGGAAAUCGUGCAAAGAGUACAAAGGCAGAAGGGAGCUUAACUGCGAGAUAAACAGAUCGAGCAGAUGAGAAAUCAGGACUUAGUGAUCCGGUGGUACCACGUGGAAGGGCCAUCGCUCAACGGAUAAAAGCUACCCUGGGGAUAACAGGCUUAUCUCCCCCAAGAGUUCAUAUCGACGGGGAGGUUUGGCACCUCGAUGUCGGCUCGUCUCAUCCUGGGGCUGAAGUAGGUCCCAAGGGUCAGUAGCUACGUUUGGAAAGGAUAAGAGCUGAAAGCAUCUAAGCACGAAGCCCCCCUUAAGAUAAGAUUUCCUUAAAGUAAGACACCUUGAAGACCACAAGGUAGAUAGGCAGUAAGUGUAAGAGUAGUAAUACUUUGAGCCUAACUGUACUAAUAUGUCGAAAACUUGAUCAA